Molecule: non-coding RNA, 126 nt
Organism: Triticum urartu
Lineage: Eukaryota; Viridiplantae; Streptophyta; Magnoliopsida; Poales; Poaceae
Source: Rfam
CCAAUACUCCUUCCGUUCGAAAAAACUUGUCCCAAGUUUAUCUCUCAAAUGGAUGUAUCUAGCAUUAACUUAGUGCUAGAUACAUUCAUUUGAGGGACAAACUUUUUCGGACGGAGAAAGUAGGUG